RNAcentral lists this ribosomal RNA (503 nucleotides) under uncultured bacterium. RNAcentral's name for it is "partial 16S ribosomal RNA". It matches the Rfam family "Bacterial small subunit ribosomal RNA", at positions 30 to 523 of the family's 1533-position model. The record is from RNAcentral.
AUUGAACGCUGGCGGCAGGCUUAACACAUGCAAGUCGAGCGGGGUGAUGGUGCUUGCACUAUCACUUAGCGGCGGACGGAUGAGUAAUGCUUAGGAAUCUGCCUAUUAGUGGGGGACAACAUCUCGAAAGGGAUGCUAAUACCGCAUACGUCCUACGGGAGAAAGCAGGGGAUCACUUGUGACCUUGCGCUAAUAGAUGAGCCUAAGUCGGAUUAGCUAGUUGGUGGGGUAAAGGCCUACCAAGGCGACGAUCUGUAGCGGGUCUGAGAGGAUGAUCCGCCACACUGGGACUGAGACACGGCCCAGACUCCUACGGGAGGCAGCAGUGGGGAAUAUUGGACAAUGGGGGGAACACUGAUCCAGCCAUGCCGCGUGUGUGAAGAAGGCCUUAUGGUUGUAAAGCACUUUAAGCGAGGAGGAGGCUCUUUUGGUUAAUACCCAAGAUGAGUGGACGUUACUCGCAGAAUAAGCACCGGCUAACUCUGUGCCAGCCGCCGCAGUAA